This is a non-coding RNA of Anas platyrhynchos (mallard), 2806 nucleotides long. The record is from RefSeq and is a predicted model, not a curated record. Lineage: Eukaryota; Metazoa; Chordata; Aves; Anseriformes; Anatidae.
AUUUCUGGCCUCCCCGCCUUCCUUUGGGCACGUAAGCACGUACGCUCGCACAGAGCUCUCACUGGCUUUAAUAAGAGCUGUAUGUAUUUAUGCAGAAGCUGUGAGACUUAAUAAGAUGUGUUAUAUUUCUUAAUUGCAGCACACCUUGCCAGUGGGUAGUGGUGGAAAAGGAUGGCCUCGAAUAUUAGGAGUAGAGGGUAUGCCAAAUCAGAUCCUGCUGUCCGUUCACCAAGACUGGCACGUACAUACUUUAGGAAGGCAAAUAAAUUCCUUUAGAACAAAGACAGCACCUUCCUGUCAGUGAUCCGUGGUCAACUGACACAUACAAGUCAUAACCAAAGGACUAAUUCUACAUAAGUGUUAAAAUCCCAUUUUGAAAGAAAAACUCAUGUUGAGCUCUACUGAGUUGAAUACCUGUAAAAAAGCUAUCUUAACAGUUGCUAAAAUUCAACUUUUAAUAAUGUUCCACUAGGCAGUUCUUUGUAAGUAUGUACUAUCUUGUUAUAAAAAUAUACCUAUCAUCAACCAUUACGAAAACUUCAAUCUGACCAAGCGCCACGGUCUGUUUCUUACACUUUAUCUGAACUUUGAGUAGGAGAGGUGACUGAUGUAGAUGUUGAGUAAAAUAGAAGUCAUGGAACAUAGUUCCCGCAUGUGGUAAUAUAAACCAGGAAAAUUGCGUAACUUGUUGAUGACUUCUGGAAUUUACAUAGCACUGUACAAACUUUGGAUUGCAGUGUUCAUUCAUCGUCAUUUACAGCUGUGAAAUCAAAUGGACUUAGUCUCUGUCCUUCACUAUUUAUGAGCUUUAUUUUGAGAUAGGGAUGAAUGCUUUGUCUUGGAAGUACGUUUUGCUAACAGACAAAAUAAACUCUGGGACAAAACUGUGUUUGUUUCCCUACAAAUGUGUAAGUGGGACAAUUUGAUAAAAAUAUCCUUCUGAUAGUGAUUUGCAUGAUACUUUGGGAACAAAAGUUUCCUGGGUUGAACGCAGGCAGUGGACUUUUUGUUACACAAUGUACUUUCAGUGGUGUGAUCUGUCACUGCUGCCUGCUAGAUAGCGUAUCCUUAUCAGUCUGUAUUACUCCUGUAAAAAGGCAUCUGGCUGAUGCAAACGUGGGUAAGUCAUACCAAGAGGUUUCUCUGUUACACCUAUUUAUUUAUUAGUUGUUUUUUCCUUCUGAUCCCUUUUCAGUUCUUAUUAGUUCUCAUGUGGAAUGCCACAGCUGAGCCCUAGGUAGCACUCCUGCUUUAAACUACCUCAAACAAAGUAGAUCAGCAAAUAUACUUUGUGCAUACAUAGCAUUGGCACAGCCAGUGAGGUAGUAGGCUGAGAUAACCUAUUCAGGACUUGGCACUGAUCCUUGAAAUUGAAUUCUCAGUGCAGGAGAGCAGCGUUUUGGUGGGUUAGUACAGAAACAGCAUACCCCUGGGGCUGAAAAACACCAGAGAUCCCACGGGGAGAUCUGCAGGCAUGGCUCCAGGUUGAUUCACCAGAAGUAUGAAGAAAGGAUAAGCAGGUGAAGACCUGUACCAUGAAGUGGAAAAAUAAUCCUGCGUGAAUCACCUUUGCCCGCAUAGUUAGCAUCUUUCACAAUUACUUUCACUGAAAUAAAACCAGUUGAAGUCUCAGUUCUAACAAAAACGCAGCUCUCCACUACCAGAAACAGUGCAGCUGAACUAAAAUCAUCAGAGGAGUCAACAAAGCCAUGGUACAAGGGAUGAACCUCAUCCCAGAAAAAUCAUUUUGACCAUAGCGUCUGCUCUGCCAGGAAAAGGAUUUAAAUUGCAAUCCUUGAAAGAACCACUACAUUCACCUGAUUUUCCUGUUCAAACACAGCAAGUGCAGGCUUUUGAAAGCCACGUGGAAUAUCUGGGAACUCGGUGCCCUCUGCUGGUACAUCAGGAAAAAGUGUUCUUAACUACAAACUCAGGCAGGAAAAUAGGGCUGUUCACAAAUAAAGCUAUUGAUGCAACACACAAACCAUCAACCUGUGCCUGUGUAAAUUGUUUCAGAGUGUCUAACAUGUCAAAGUCCAGUGUAAAUUACAUUUGCAGAAUAUGUAAGAUGUCCAUCCAUGAGCUGUAAGUAACCUGCCAUUUCAGGUCACAGUUAUAGCAUAUUUACUGUUAAAAUCUAGAUGGAUUUUACACUAACUGGAAACAGAACAUCAGCAGACAGUCAUCGUGCUGAAUACUGGCUGUGACACCAUUUUGUGGAAAAGAUGGAAACAACCUUCUCUCUCUCUCCAAGAAACACCUUUCUCAUUCUCAAACAGGCAUCACAGUCAUUGUUCUUGGUACGUGAUGUGGAGCAAGAUGGUAGGUGGCAAAUAAAGCUCGAUAGCGUGGUGAAGGUGCUCAGCUGAAUCACAGAAUCAAAGAAUUGUAGGGGUUGGCAGGGACCUCAAGAGAUCAUUGGGUCCGACCCCAAAUGGCUACGUGCAUUACGCUGUUUGCCAGAGGGAUGCCCUGAACCCUGCUCAGCCAGCAGGAGGUUAAACGCUGAGGAGUGCUGUCUGGUGAAGCUCAUUUUAGCUAAACUCUCUACCUUAUGUUGAAAAUUUCAAAUAUUUUAUUUGCCUUGUGCGUUGCUGAAUAAAAACAUGUACAUAUACUCCCAGUUUAACUACACCUCUUUACAUGAAAGUAACUGCUCUCUGCAGCUGUUUUAAAAACCGUAUCAGAACCUUACAGCUAGAUGAUGAGAAUAGAUUAUUGCUCAUUCAUGAGAUAUUUUUGUACUACUCUGCACCUCUGAAAAUGGUUUCGUUCCUAAUUUUGCCGUGCUGGUGACGGUAGUGUA